RNAcentral lists this signal recognition particle RNA (138 nucleotides) under Chloroflexota bacterium. RNAcentral describes it as "Chloroflexi bacterium (anaerobic digester metagenome) partial signal recognition particle sRNA large type". It matches the Rfam family "Bacterial large signal recognition particle RNA", at positions 1 to 135 of the family's 256-position model. From Rfam's summary of the family: The signal recognition particle (SRP) is a universally conserved ribonucleoprotein involved in the co-translational targeting of proteins to membranes. Archaeal SRP consists of a 7S RNA and homologues of the eukaryotic SRP19 and SRP54 proteins. Lineage: Bacteria; Bacillati; Chloroflexota. The record is from RNAcentral.
CCGUGCUAGACGGGGAGCUAGCGGUGCCCUGAACCCGCAAUCCGCUACAGCGGGGUCGAAUUCCCUCCCGCGGGGUUGUGUUCGGCAGAACGGCCCAGGUCGGGCGGCGUUGAAAACUGGGUCCUGCGCAGCAGAGGC